GAGCGGGUGUAGCAAUACACCAGCGGCAGACGGGAGAGUAACACGUGGGAACGUGCCCUUCAGUUCGGAACAACCCAGGGAAACUUGGGCUAAUACCGGAUACGUCCGUAAGGAGAAAGAUUUAUCGCUGAAGGAUCGGCCCGCGUCUGAUUAGCUUGUUGGUGAGGUAAUGGCUCACCAAGGCGACGAUCAGUAGCUGGUCUGAGAGGAUGAUCAGCCUCACUGGGACUGAGACACGGCCCAGACUCCUACGGGAGGCAGCAGUGGGGAAUAUUGGACAAUGGGCGCAAGCCUGAUCCAGCCAUGCCGCGUGGAUGAUGAAGGCCCUAGGGUUGUAAAGUCCUUUCGGCGGGGAAGAUAAUGACGGUACCCGCAGAAGAAGCCCCGGCUAACUUCGUG
RNAcentral lists this ribosomal RNA (399 nucleotides) under uncultured bacterium. RNAcentral's name for it is "bacterial SSU rRNA". It matches the Rfam family "Bacterial small subunit ribosomal RNA", at positions 64 to 507 of the family's 1533-position model. The record is from RNAcentral.